This is a long non-coding RNA of Theobroma cacao (cacao), 662 nucleotides long. RefSeq lists it as uncharacterized. Lineage: Eukaryota; Viridiplantae; Streptophyta; Magnoliopsida; Malvales; Malvaceae. The record is from RefSeq and is a predicted model, not a curated record.
CAACCAAACUUCAUUCAUUCAAAGCAUUCUGGUCAAAAAGCUUGUUGUAUCCUGGAGAGUCAUUAUUUGCAAAUUCCCAUAAUAGGGUGAUACAGGGAGGUCUGUUUUUGGGUGAGUUUAUUGCAAUAUGUUUCAUGUUCUGGGUUUGCGAUGUAUGCUUCAGGUGUUUCCUUCCUGUUAAGGAUGUUUUUAGGCUAUGGCCUUGUCUUCUUAACCCAGAUUCUCCUUAAAGAAAAUCUUGACUUGCUUUGUUUGAAGCAUAUAGGGUAUUUUGGAGGUAUGUAGUGGGUUAAUCAAGCUUUUCUGGCCCUCUAGAAAAGAAGUAUGAAUGACUCUGCUAUUCCUAUUUUAAUGCAUAUUUGAGAUGGUAACCGGGCUGACAUGCUAAUGAACAGAAUGCAUGGAUGGGAACAGGAACUGGAAUUGGCUGUUGCUGAUAUUUGAUUUUGUCCGAACCAAAUGUUGUCUCGUUAUUUUCAGCGGAUUGGUCUGUGAAUGUUUUUGAAAAGGAAGACGCAGUCCUGGGCAUUUCGGGAUAGGCUUUGAUCUGUAGUUUAGUUACCGCAUAAGUUUUCUGGAUUGUAUCUACCCCCAAAUUGAGCAAAGCCUUGUAGCAGCACUUCGUAUCUCUGCUUGAUGUAAUAAACGAAGUCUUGCUAUAA